GAACUUUCCAGAGAUGGACUGGUGCCUUCGGGAACUGUGAGACAGGUGCUGCAUGGCUGUCGUCAGCUCGUGUUGUGAAAUGUUGGGUUAAGUCCCGCAACGAGCGCAACCCUUAUCCUUUGUUGCCAGCGGUUAGGCCGGGAACUCAAAGGAGACUGCCAGUGAUAAACUGGAGGAAGGUGGGGAUGACGUCAAGUCAUCAUGGCCCUUACGACCAGGGCUACACACGUGCUACAAUGGCGCAUACAAAGAGAAGCGACCUCGCGAGAGCAAGCGGACCUCAUAAAGUGCGUCGUAGUCCGGAUUGGAGUCUGCAACUCGACUCCAUGAAGUCGGAAUCGCUAGUAAUCGUGGAUCAGAAUGCCACGGUGAAUACGUUCCCGGGCCUUGUACACACCGCCCGUCACACCAUGGGAGUGGGUUGCAAAAGAAGUAGGUAGCUUAACCUUCGGGAGGGCGCUUACCACUUUGUGAUUCAUGACUGGGGUGAAGUCGUAACAAGGUAACCGUAGGGGAACCUGCGGUUGGA
RNAcentral lists this ribosomal RNA (529 nucleotides) under Salmonella enterica. Its description in RNAcentral is "bacterial SSU rRNA". It matches the Rfam family "Bacterial small subunit ribosomal RNA", at positions 993 to 1522 of the family's 1533-position model. The record is from RNAcentral. Lineage: Bacteria; Pseudomonadati; Pseudomonadota; Gammaproteobacteria; Enterobacterales; Enterobacteriaceae. RNAcentral also lists the same sequence under 2 other names.